This 2919-nucleotide ribosomal RNA is filed under the name Klebsiella pneumoniae. Its description in RNAcentral is "23S ribosomal RNA". It matches the Rfam family "Bacterial large subunit ribosomal RNA". The record is from RNAcentral. Lineage: Bacteria; Pseudomonadati; Pseudomonadota; Gammaproteobacteria; Enterobacterales; Enterobacteriaceae.
GGGUUGUGAGGUUAAGCGACUAAGCGUACACGGUGGAUGCCCUGGCAGUCAGAGGCGAUGAAGGACGUGCUAAUCUGCGAAAAGCGUCGGUAAGGUGAUAUGAACCGUUACAGCCGGCGAUGUCCGAAUGGGGAAACCCAGUGCAAUUCGUUGCACUAUCGUUAACUGAAUACAUAGGUUAACGAGGCGAACCGGGGGAACUGAAACAUCUAAGUACCCCGAGGAAAAGAAAUCAACCGAGAUUCCCCCAGUAGCGGCGAGCGAACGGGGAGCAGCCCAGAGUCUGAAUCAGCUUGUGUGUUAGUGGAACGGUCUGGAAAGUCCGACGGUACAGGGUGAUAGUCCCGUACACCAAAAUGCACAGGCUGUGAACUCGAAGAGUAGGGCGGGACACGUGGUAUCCUGUCUGAAUAUGGGGGACCAUCCUCCAAGGCUAAAUACUCCUGACUGACCGAUAGUGAACCAGUACCGUGAGGGAAAGGCGAAAAGAACCCCGGCGAGGGGAGUGAAAAAGAACCUGAAACCGUGUACGUACAAGCAGUGGGAGCACCUUCGGGUGUGACUGCGUACCUUUUGUAUAAUGGGUCAGCGACUUAUAUUCUGUAGCAAGGUUAACCGUAUAGGGGAGCCGCAGGGAAACCGAGUCUUAACUGGGCGUUAAGUUGCAGGGUAUAGACCCGAAACCCGGUGAUCUAGCCAUGGGCAGGUUGAAGGUUGGGUAACACUAACUGGAGGACCGAACCGACUAAUGUUGAAAAAUUAGCGGAUGACUUGUGGCUGGGGUGAAAGGCCAAUCAAACCGGGAGAUAGCUGGUUCUCCCGAAAGCUAUUUAGGUAGCGCCUCGUGAACUCAUCUUCGGGGUAGAGCACUGUUUCGGCUAGGGGGUCAUCCCGACUUACCAACCCGAUGCAAACUACGAAUACCGAAGAAUGUUAUCACGGGAGACACACGGCGGGUGCUAACGUCCGUCGUGAAGAGGAAACAACCCAGACCGCCAGCUAAGGUCCCAAAGUCAUGGUUAAGUGGGAAACGAUGUGGGAAGGCACAGACAGCCAGGAUGUUGGCUUAGAAGCAGCCAUCAUUUAAAGAAAGCGUAAUAGCUCACUGGUCGAGUCGGCCUGCGCGGAAGAUGUAACGGGGCUAAACCAUGCACCGAAGCUGCGGCAGCGACACUAUGUGUUGUUGGGUAGGGGAGCGUUCUGUAAGCCUGCGAAGGUGACCUGUGAGGGUUGCUGGAGGUAUCAGAAGUGCGAAUGCUGACAUAAGUAACGAUAAAGCGGGUGAAAAGCCCGCUCGCCGGAAGACCAAGGGUUCCUGUCCAACGUUAAUCGGGGCAGGGUGAGUCGACCCCUAAGGCGAGGCCGAAAGGCGUAGUCGAUGGGAAACAGGUUAAUAUUCCUGUACUUGGUGUUACUGCGAAGGGGGGGGACGGAGAAGGCUAUGUUAGCCGGGCGACGGUUGUCCCGGUUUAAGCAUGUAGGCUGGUUGUCCAGGCAAAUCCGGAUAAUCAAGGCUGAGGUGUGAUGACGAGGCACUACGGUGCUGAAGUAACAAAUGCCCUGCUUCCAGGAAAAGCCUCUAAGCAUCAGGUAACAUUAAAUCGUACCCCAAACCGACACAGGUGGUCAGGUAGAGAAUACCAAGGCGCUUGAGAGAACUCGGGUGAAGGAACUAGGCAAAAUGGUGCCGUAACUUCGGGAGAAGGCACGCUGGUGUGUAGGUGAAGUCCCUGCGGAUGGAGCUGAGACCAGUCGAAGAUACCAGCUGGCUGCAACUGUUUAUUAAAAACACAGCACUGUGCAAACACGAAAGUGGACGUAUACGGUGUGACGCCUGCCCGGUGCCGGAAGGUUAAUUGAUGGGGUUAUCCGUAAGGAGAAGCUCUUGAUCGAAGCCCCGGUAAACGGCGGCCGUAACUAUAACGGUCCUAAGGUAGCGAAAUUCCUUGUCGGGUAAGUUCCGACCUGCACGAAUGGCGUAAUGAUGGCCAGGCUGUCUCCACCCGAGACUCAGUGAAAUUGAACUCGCUGUGAAGAUGCAGUGUACCCGCGGCAAGACGGAAAGACCCCGUGAACCUUUACUAUAGCUUGACACUGAACAUUGAGCCUUGAUGUGUAGGAUAGGUGGGAGGCUUUGAAGCGUGGACGCCAGUCUGCGUGGAGCCAACCUUGAAAUACCACCCUUUAAUGUUUGAUGUUCUAACGUUGGCCCCUUACCGGGGUUGCGGACAGUGUCUGGUGGGUAGUUUGACUGGGGCGGUCUCCUCCCAAAGCGUAACGGAGGAGCACGAAGGUUAGCUAAUCCUGGUCGGACAUCAGGAGGUUAGUGCAAUGGCAUAAGCUAGCUUGACUGCGAGCGUGACGGCGCGAGCAGGUGCGAAAGCAGGUCAUAGUGAUCCGGUGGUUCUGAAUGGAAGGGCCAUCGCUCAACGGAUAAAAGGUACUCGGGGAUAACAGGCUGAUACCGCCCAAGAGUUCAUAUCGACGGCGGUGUUUGGCACCUCGAUGUCGGCUCAUCACAUCCUGGGGCUGAAGUAGGUCCCAAGGGUAUGGCUGUUCGCCAUUUAAAGUGGUACGCGAGCUGGGUUUAGAACGUCGUGAGACAGUUCGGUCCCUAUCUGCCGUGGGCGCUGGAGAAUUGAGGGGGGCUGCUCCUAGUACGAGAGGACCGGAGUGGACGCAUCACUGGUGUUCGGGUUGUCAUGCCAAUGGCACUGCCCGGUAGCUAAAUGCGGAAGAGAUAAGUGCUGAAAGCAUCUAAGCACGAAACUUGCCCCGAGAUGAGUUCUCCCUGAGACUUUAAGUCUCCUGAAGGAACGUUAAAGACGAUGACGUUGAUAGGCCGGGUGUGUAAGCGCAGCGAUGCGUUGAGCUAACCGGUACUAAUGAACCGUGAGGCUUAACCUUACAACGCCGAAG